AAAAGAAGAGUGGCGAACGGGUGAGUAACACGUGGGUAACCUGCCCAUCAGAAGGGGAUAACACUUGGAAACAGGUGCUAAUACCGUAUAACAAUCGAAACCGCAUGGUUUUGAUUUGAAAGGCGCUUUCGGGUGUCGCUGAUGGAUGGACCCGCGGUGCAUUAGCUAGUUGGUGAGGUAACGGCUCACCAAGGCCACGAUGCAUAGCCGACCUGAGAGGGUGAUCGGCCACAUUGGGACUGAGACACGGCCCAAACUCCUACGGGAGGCAGCAGUAGGGAAUCUUCGGCAAUGGACGAAAGUCUGACCGAGCAACGCCGCGUGAGUGAAGAAGGUUUUCGGAUCGUAAAACUCUGUUGUUAGAGAAGAACAAGGAUGAGAGUAACUGUUCAUCCCUUGACGGUAUCUAACCAGAAAGCCACGGCUAACUACGUGCCAGCAGCCGCGGUAAUACGUAGGUGGCAAGCGUUGUCCGGAUUUAUUGGGCGUAAAGCGAGCGCAGGCGGUUUCUUAAGUCUGAUGUGAAAGCCCCCGGCUCAACCGGGGAGGGUCAUUGGAAACUGGGAGACUUGAGUGCAGAAGAGGAGAGUGGAAUUCCAUGUGUAGCGGUGAAAUGCGUAGAUAUAUGGAGGAACACCAGUGGCGAAGGCGGCUCUCUGGUCUGUAACUGACGCUGAGGCUCGAAAGCGUGGGGAGCAAACAGGAUUAGAUACCCUGGUAGUCCACGCCGUAAACGAUGAGUGCUAAGUGUUGGAGGGUUUCCGCCCUUCAGUGCUGCAGCUAACGCAUUAAGCACUCCGCCUGGGGAGUACGACCGCAAGGUUGAAACUCAAAGGAAUUGACGGGGGCCCGCACAAGCCGGUGGAGCAUGUGGUUUAAUU
This 881-nucleotide ribosomal RNA is filed under the name Enterococcus sp. RNAcentral's name for it is "bacterial SSU rRNA". It matches the Rfam family "Bacterial small subunit ribosomal RNA", at positions 86 to 951 of the family's 1533-position model. The record is from RNAcentral. Lineage: Bacteria; Bacillati; Bacillota; Bacilli; Lactobacillales; Enterococcaceae.